UACUCAAACAAAAAGACGUAAAGCUCCAACAGAAGGAUGCAAGAAAUAUGGUGAAAUGGAUCGGAUUUGAUCAUCCGGAGAAGAAUUUCACCGGCAGAGUGGACUGCGAUGGAUCACUCUCUCUCUCCAGGGGACUGCCGCUGGAUACAGCCGUGUUGUCAGAGAAGUCGAUACCAGUGAUGGAAAGAUUAAAGUUGUAGUUGCUGUUGCUGCUGCCUCUGAUCCUGAAACGCCACAGGUGCAUGAACUCGAAGGGUUGUACUGUUUUGAUGGAGUUUUAAAGUAUGGGUUUUCUUUUGAUUUCGGUAGGCCAUGUGAUGUUCUAAAGAUACUGUUUGUAAGGCGAAUUUUAAGCCCGGCAAGAUUUGGUUUCAUGGGUGAAUAUGGGCGAAUAAAUAAGAUAAUUGCUUAGUAGAACUUGUUUGUUUGCAGCUGACUCGGCGUCUGAAUCUGAGUCAACCCUUGACUCGGGCCGAGUCAGCAGUUAGACCGUUUGUUUUCCAUUUUGAGUCAGAUCUGACGCGACCUAUUUUCUUCU
This is a long non-coding RNA of Papaver somniferum (opium poppy), 538 nucleotides long. RefSeq lists it as uncharacterized. The record is from RefSeq and is a predicted model, not a curated record. Lineage: Eukaryota; Viridiplantae; Streptophyta; Magnoliopsida; Ranunculales; Papaveraceae. The transcript is spliced from 2 exons.